GUGUUGCCUAGCUGGGAAUUGGAUUUUCAUAAUUAAAGCAGUACAACACAGGACAACAAAGUUCCUGCAAGGUUAACAAGCACAGAAAAGGAAUUCUCUGCAGGGACAGCUUAGCAUACAAAGUACAGCAGAGUGCAAACAAUCGAUGUCAUGACCUCAUUCUGCCAAUGCAUUUACUAUCUUCUGCCGUACAUCAUUGGAUGCGAGAGACAAGCCUGGUGAAAUGACAGAACAAUGUUGACACAUCAUUCACUUGAUGCUAUGACAUCACAUGUUGAUGAUGUCAUGCCAUAACAUCAAGAUGCGAGGAGAGCAAAGAACAUCUUAUUCUGCCCCAGACCAAUAUGAAAAAUAACUGAUGUCUUGCAAGGAACUCCAUUUGAACUAAUCAUCCAAAACAGAUGAUUGCAUCAUGACUACUUUACUGAGAAUUGGUCACUUACACACAGAUGCUCAUCUGUGCACCAUGGAAAUUGAAUUCAAGUAAUGUGAAUGCAGAACCAAAGAUACAGAAUCUGGUCGCUAUUUUGGAAACAACGGCCAUCAUGUCUGGAAUGGCAAUUGUAAAAUGUGGACUGGAAGCCCUGCCUUAGAGACUCCAGUUUGCCACUUGCUAAUCAUUAUUUGUACACUAUGCAGCCAUAUUUGGAGAAAGCCUCCCUCUGCUGAAAUCUAUGGCAAAGCUCCAGUUAAGUCACCCAUUAAGUCUAGACAACAAGAUUGAGAUCUCUUCUGCAAAUAAAGUAUGAGCAGCCACUAAUGAAAGCAUUGACUUGCUAACAAAGGCAGCAUAAAGCGCAGCAGUGAAUGGCGUUAGGAUUCUGCAAGCAGCAACAGCAGACGCUCCACAGAGAUUUGUGGGGGAGAGAGGCAGCCAUAGUUAUUAGAGUGGUUAGUGGAACGGAACAGGAAACAUGAGGAGGUUAUGACAUCACCAUCUCAACUUGACAUGCAUCAUCUAUCAGGGAUGGCUUAAGGAUAAUGAAAUAAAUCAUACCCUGAUGCAAUGAGAUGGACGAGAUGACCCUACUGCUGCUUCCUUUCAGCAGUAACAACUCUGCAACUAGAAAAGAGUAGCUCUAUCAGACGUGUAGAAAUCUGGUGAGCUACAGUUCAUCGGUUCUGAGGGCACUGUUCUCACGGGUGCACAGUUACUUAGUGCCUUGAGACAAUAAGAUUGCUAUCAAUCCUUUUUUGACCUACUUUUCCCAUUUUUACAUUUUUAAGGGUCUUUCAGUUUUUCCUCUUCCCCCACAUAUUUCCUGAAACGAUUCUCUACGAGAAAUAUCUAUGGCAAAUAUACAACGGAUUCAGACAGUAGCUCCCAGGAAUAAGGAAAGUGGUUUCAGAGAGUCUGUGCUUCCUGUGAUAAACACAUGCUUCUCUCCUGCUACCAAAUGCAACUAAACAGGUUUAGCAGGUUUUUGAAACAACACAAAAACUCACAGAACCUCCUUUAUCCAGAGGCAAAGUGAGAUACAUUAAUUAAAAAGAACAAAAAAAACCCAAACACUUCUGCUUAUUUCCCAACUAGCUUCCAAUCUCCUGGAAGAAAAAAAGACAAGAAAAGCUAGUCUUAUAUCCAAUCAAAAAUGACCUUACUCAAUUGUAUGUUGUUGGGAAUUAUUUGAACUCAACUGCAAUUUUUCUUUUAAAAGCAAAAUAAAACUAUGCAAUCAAACCAAUUUUACUGAGUGCAAAAACAUACCAACAUUAACUCUGUAAAGAAAGUAAAUAAUAUGCACUUUCUACUCUCUGCUUGCAUUUGAAAAAAAAAAUA
Molecule: non-coding RNA, 1780 nt
Organism: Python bivittatus (Burmese python)
Lineage: Eukaryota; Metazoa; Chordata; Lepidosauria; Squamata; Pythonidae
Source: RefSeq, a predicted model, not a curated record